CAUGGUUCAAGUAUGAAAAUAUCUUAUGGUGGGACCAUAUCAUUUAUGCGUUCGAUUUUGGUCAUAAAAUUUGUUGCAUAUUUUUAGUUUCACUUUCAUCUCAUCAUACCGUGAAAUACAAAAUUAACAUCAUACGAAUACGUCAUACACUGUAAAAUAAGCGAAUAAGUUGAUAUUUGAAUACAAUCUAUGAUGGUUUUAAUCUUAUACAUUCAAAUUGAUUGAACAAAAUAAAAGUUAUGAUCAUUUACGGCGUCCUUAAAAGAGAAAGUCAAAUAUCGAUCGUCGCUAUUGAAUUAAGAGAAUAAUAUUUCAUGCUUCUGUAUCUAUUACAAUAACACGCAUUGGAAAUAUAGAUUUACAUAUUUACUGUGCUAUAGUGCACUUUAUUGAAAUAUGGAAAAACAAUAAAUAACAUGACAAGAAGAUCGUGACUGUAUUUCGUAUUGAAUUCAACUUUUUAUGGUCUGGCGAAUUCGAUCCAUUGUGACAUCAGCGUUCGAUAAAACGUUGCACAAGACGUAAAGACCAAUAUGUUCAGAGCAAUAAAAUAUUUAACAACAAUUAGAGAAAGUAAAACCAAACGCGAAUAUUAUUAUUAUUAAGGAUUAAUAAUAGGAAUGAUAAAAUAUGCGUUAAUAUACCAACAGUUUGACAAUGGUAAUAUAAUGUUAUUGAUUUGUCUUUCUAAAUAUUAUAUUGAAAACUACAACCAAACAUUUAAAUAAAUUGUAUCGACAGCAAAGAAGUUUAAUUAAUCAUUUAAAGACUUGAAUUGAAAUUCAGCAUUGGGAUACGCAACAACAUUGAUCCAAAACAGAAUUUUGUUUAUAUUUUUUGAAAGCAAUUUGUUGAAAGUUUCUUUUUGGUAUUCGUAAGUUUACAUCACUCACAGUGAGAUCAAAAAUUAACAAAACUACAUCGGCAAAAAAUUGGUCGGUAGAUGUCACCGUAGAGCAACAUAGAAAAUCUGAUAAUCGGAUGAUAAUUCUUUACAAACACAAAAGAUUUAUUUGAAGCGAUUGAAUUAAAAAAUUCGAACUAUUGAAAUUUAAAACUUCGGCCACACAAUCUUUUUUUUUAUAUUAUAUUAGGGAAUUCCUAAUUAAUAGCUCACAAAGCGGCAGUCUUGAACGUUCGAUUUACUUUAAUGCCUUUAGUAUUUAUGUGUAUAUAGUGAUGAUUAAAAACAAUCAAAUCGAUGAAAUAUGUACAAACUGACCAAUAAAAUCACAGAGACGUCUGCAAGGUGACGCAGAUGCAGUAACGUCAGAUUAAUCAAACCACGACAUGGAUGGAACCUCGAUCACUAAAUGGAUGAAAAGUCCCGCUGGGAAAUUGAACAAGUUUUGUCGGACAUGCAUUUCCGUCUCGUUUCCACCAGUGCCCAUGUUUAUGGUAUUAUACUCUAUGUCUCUAUCAAAAAUGUAAACUAUCGAGAUGAGAGUACGUGCGAACUGAAAUUUGUCCUGGGAAUUGUCAUGCUAAAUCAAACAGUUUAGGUAUUUCACCAAAUAUCAAAAAAUAUUUCAAAAUACACCUUGGCAACUUUUUGUCGAUGUUUUCUUGAACAUUUUCCUCGAACGUUCAUUUUCGUUCGUCUUUGUUUGAUUCCGAUAUAUUAUUCACAAAACAACGAGGCGCUAGAAAUCCCCGCUUAAAUGUUCAAUUCAAUUAAUUUGAUGUUAACAACAUUGGUCGCAUAUUUACGUCUGUUAAUUGCUACAUUCAUUAAUGCAUCAAUGUCCGCCCUUAUUCCAUACAAUAUUUCAAACUUUGAAUUACGAAUAAUUAUGAUCUAAGAUCUUCCUCUACUAUUCACAUUCUUUGAUAUUUUGAAUUAGCAAAUUAAAUUUUUUUAUCUUCACAACAUGAAUUUGAAAUAUUUCUCUCGCGGCCUGGAUGCGCAACACGUCAUGAGCAGUAUGAUAUAGAGAUUACUUUAUGGUUAAUUUAUCAUUAUCUUAUGGUAGAAUCCUAUUAUUGUAUGCGUUUGAUAUUGGCAAUAAAACUUGUUGCAUA
Styela clava is the source of this 2022-nucleotide long non-coding RNA. RefSeq lists it as uncharacterized. The record is from RefSeq and is a predicted model, not a curated record. Lineage: Eukaryota; Metazoa; Chordata; Ascidiacea; Stolidobranchia; Styelidae.